CCCCCGUGACACCCCUCAUUAUUUUUCUCUAGGAGCCGUGGAAUAGGUCGACCCCCCUAUUUUUGGACCAUUUUUUUCAAAUUUUGGGCUCUAGUUUCAGAUUUUUGAACAUAGCGCCCUUCGAUACCUUGCGCAAAAGAAGCGCCUGUUUCUCCUCUACAAGACCUAUAUAGUCAUACCCCGUGACACCCCUCAUUAUUUUUUCUCUAGGAAGCCCUGGAAUAGGUCGACCCCCCUAUUUUUUGACCAUUUUUUUUCAAAUUUUGGGCUCUAGUUUCAGAUUUUUGAACAUAGCGCCCUUCGAUACCUUGCGCAAAAGAAGCGCCUGUUUCUCCUCUACAAGACCUAUAUAGUCAUACCCCGUGACACCCCUCAUUAUUUUUCUCUAGGAGCCGUGGAAUAGGUCGACCCCCCUAUUUUGGACCAUUUUUUUUCAAAUUUUGGGCUCUAGUUUCAGAUUUUUGAACAUAGCGCCCUUCGAUACCUUGCGCAAAAGAAGCGCCUGUUUCUCCUCUACAAGACCUAUAUAGUCAUACCCCCGUGACACCCCUCAUUAUUUUUCUCUAGGAGCCGUGGAAUAGGUCGACCCCCUAUUUUGGACCAUUUUUUUACAAAUUUUGGGCUCUAGUUUCAGAUUUUUUGAACAUAGCGCCCUUCGAUACCUUGCGCAAAAGAAGCGCCUGUUUCUCCUCUACAAGACCUAUAUAGUCAUACCCCGUGACACCCCUCAUUAUUUUUCUCUAGGAAGCCGUGGAAUAGGUCCGACCCCCUAUUUUUGGACCAUUUUUUUUCAAAUUUUGGGCUCUAGUUUCAGAUUUUUGAACAUAGCGCCCUUCGAUACCUUGCGCAAAAGAAGCGCCUGUUUCUCCUCUACAAGACCUAUAUAGUCAUACCCCGUGACACCCCUCAUUAUUUUUCUCUAGGAGCCCUGGAAUA
Molecule: long non-coding RNA, 936 nt
Filed under: Mytilus galloprovincialis (Mediterranean mussel)
Lineage: Eukaryota; Metazoa; Mollusca; Bivalvia; Mytilida; Mytilidae
Source: RNAcentral